RNAcentral lists this ribosomal RNA (253 nucleotides) under uncultured bacterium. Its description in RNAcentral is "partial 16S ribosomal RNA". It matches the Rfam family "Bacterial small subunit ribosomal RNA", at positions 524 to 776 of the family's 1533-position model. The record is from RNAcentral.
UCCAGAGGUGGCAAGCGUUGUUCGGAAUUACUGGGCGUAAAGGGCGCGUAGGCGGCCUUCUAAGUCGGACGUGAAAGCCCCAGGCUUAACCUGGGAACUGCGUCCGAUACUGGGAGGCUUGGAUUCGGGAGAGGGAUGUGGAAUUCCAGGUGUAGCGGUGAAAUGCGUAGAUAUCUGGAGGAACACCGGUGGCGAAGGCGGCAUCCUGGACCGAGAUCGACGCUGAGGCGCGAAAGCUAGGGGAGCAAACGGG